UUGCAAACAUUGUCGAAGUCACGGAGCCAGCUGUUACAGAGUCAGAGAACAUUUGUCAGGCCAGAAGUAGACUUGUUCCAACUGAAGCAGCUCCCGAAAUAAACCUUUCUACAGGUGACCUUAGUAGAUUUGUUACAACUGAAGCAGCUCCAAAACUAAACCCUUCUACAAGUGACCUUAGUAGAUUUGUUACAAUUGAAGCAGCUCCGGAAAUAAACCCUUCUACAGGUGACCUUAGUAGACUUGUUACAACUGAAGCAGCUCCAGAAAUAAACCCUUCUACAGGUGACCUUAGUAGACUUGUUACAACUGAAGCAGCUCCGGAAAUAAACCCUUCUACAGGUGAUCUUAGCAGACUUGUUACAACUGAAGCAGAUCCGGAACUAAACUCUUCUACAGGUGAGCUUAGUGUGCAAGUAGGC
Molecule: long non-coding RNA, 422 nt
Filed under: Carica papaya (papaya)
Lineage: Eukaryota; Viridiplantae; Streptophyta; Magnoliopsida; Brassicales; Caricaceae
Description: long non-coding RNA (CPAP_LNC005148)
Source: RNAcentral